GAUCCUGGCUCAGGAUGAACGCUAGCUACAGGCUUAACACAUGGAAGUCGAGGGGCAGCAUGGUCUUAGCUUGCUAAGGCCGAUGGCGACCGGCGCACGGGUGAGUAACGCGUAUCCGACCUGCCUUACACUCUUGGACAGCCUUCUGAAAGGGAGAUUAAUACAAGAUGUUAUCAUGAGUAAGCAUUUUCGCAUGAUUAAAGGUUUACCGGUGUAAGAUGGGGAUGCGUUCCA
Molecule: ribosomal RNA, 234 nt
Filed under: uncultured bacterium
Lineage: Bacteria
Description: partial 16S ribosomal RNA
Rfam family: Bacterial small subunit ribosomal RNA
Source: RNAcentral